Molecule: long non-coding RNA, 1015 nt
Filed under: Strigops habroptila (Kakapo)
Lineage: Eukaryota; Metazoa; Chordata; Aves; Psittaciformes; Psittacidae
Description: lncRNA (ENSSHBG00005005750.1)
Source: RNAcentral
GCUGAAGUUGCCUGCUUUAUUUGCACUUUAAAAGCAUGGAAGAGUAAGCUAUGAAUAAUUUCUCCUGCUUUAGCACUGGGUAGACAGCUCCUGAAAAUGUACUCCUGGCUUCAGUGAACCGGAGGGUGACUGCAACACUGAGUAACUGAAAGGCUCUACCCAAAGUAAGAGUAUGUGGGAAGAGGAUCUGAAGUUUGCUGAUGUAUCACAACUUUCACAGGCAAGCAAUCGGGAGCAGCACGGCUCCAGUAACAGUUCCUCGGGGGACGGACAGCUGCAGAGGAGCACAGGGCUUUGAUUCAAAUAACUCACUGGGUAUAAAUUCGUUUUAUAUCCCCAUCCACAAACUGAUGAAUCCACAAUAACCAGACCAGAUUCCCUUUUUUUUUCUUUUCAUUGUGAAAAUAAGUUUCUUGAGCUGAUACAAUAUAUCAGCUUGAGCUUGCUCCAAGCCAAAUGUGCUCCUUGGAAGCGCAGCCCUCUCCUCCAGUGAAAUCCAAGUUGGUACCAUGGGUACAAAACACUGACAGUGUGUGGGGCAGGGCUGCUCUGCAGCCCCACGAGGGCCAGGUGAUGGGUACAGGUAGAGGUGGAGAUGCCAGCGCUGCUUUGCGGGCCCCAUGGAGCUGAGAAACUGGACUGCCGACCCUACUGCAGCCCCCAAACUUAGAUCAGCAGCUCUGGCGGGGGGGAAGGAGGAUGCAGGCUUGGGUUGAAAUUCAUUUUCCCCCUCCUGCACCUCAUUAUAAGUUCCACCCACAUAAGACCUAAUUACUUGGCUUUUAUGCUGGCAAAGUGGAUUUCAUCCUUGCUGUUUCCCAUGGUGGUUGCCUUCAUUUUCAUGGCGGCACUGAUGGUUACAGCUUAUUGAUGUUUUCACUUUAGUGAUUUAAAGCAGAAUACAUUUUGUUAUUAGUGCUGGUUUCUCUCAUUGCUGCUUUAAUCAAAGAUGCAAUUUAAGGCAAAGGAUUGUGUGUAAUGGUAAACAGUAGGAUAAUGCCUUCAGAGAACAGAA